RNAcentral lists this long non-coding RNA (2647 nucleotides) under Eptatretus burgeri (inshore hagfish). Its description in RNAcentral is "lncRNA (ENSEBUG00000017510.1)". Lineage: Eukaryota; Metazoa; Chordata; Myxini; Myxiniformes; Myxinidae. The record is from RNAcentral.
GGGGGGGGGGGGGGGGGGGGGGGGGGGGGGGGGGGGGGGGGGGGGGGGGGGGGGGGGGGGGGGGGGGGGGGGGCUUUACCUGCACCUUUUCAGUGCAUCCAAACACACUUGUAACACACAAACCCACAUUUCCUGACAAAACUACAAUACAAAGCACAGUCAAAGGAACAUCAUUCGGUAGUGCUGUGGAACAUCCAGCGCCCGACGAAGCAGCAAGGAUCACAUAUGGGUGGGGUUACCAGAGGACGGUGUCGCUGAGCUGAAAGCUCGACCAGUGAGCGUGGCCUGACAAAUGGCCGUGCUCCAAUGUGAAGGCAGCGCCAUGAGCAAGCUGCGCUGGGAUGCUGACUAUGCCUCGGCCAAGGGCUUUAUAAGUCUGAGAAGCCAAGAACUCGGUGUCUUGUUUGACCAGAGAACCACAAUGUGUCCUCCAGGAAUGACCCAAGUGACUGCGAACUGCUACACAGACAGCUCUGUUGAGAUCGAGCAAGCUAGCCACAGACCACAAUACACCACAACCUGUGAAAUGCCAUUCACGCAUCGUGUACUCGGAGUGAGGAACUCUCCCAUGAAACUCACUCGAUGCUGUAAAGUCUCUGUCUCAGAUUGCAAGGCCACAUGGAUUGCAAGAUUUGCUCAAGCUCUGUCAAGUUGGAUGGGGAGCUUCAGUGAACAGCAAUCGUCAAGUCUUUCCACAGAUUCUCAAUGGGAUUCAAGUCUGGGCUUUGGCUGGGCCACUCAAGGCAUUUCACGUUCUUGUUUUGAAGCCAUUCCAGUGUUGCUUUGGCUGUGUGCCUGGAGUCAUUGUCCUGUUGGAACAUAAAUCUUCACCGCAGUGUAAGGUGUUUUGUACUCUGAAGAAGGUUCGCCUCAAGGAUUUGCCUGUAUUUGGCUCCAUUCAUUGUUCCCUCUAUCCUUAACAAGUCUCCCAGUUCCCGCCACUGAAAAGCAUCCACAUAGCAUGAUGCUACCACCACCAUGUUUCAUGGUAGGGAUGGUUUUAGAUGGGUGAUGAGCUAUGCUGUUUCAGCCAGAGCUGUGCUCUUUGCAUUCUAAUAAUAGGGAGUACUCGGUAAAGUGCAUACCUCUGCCAGGCUGAUUAGUUUACGUUUUGUAUCCCACUGAUAGGCCGGAUCUGGAUUCAGACCCAAUCUAAAAUCUAAUCGGCUUGUUCUUGUCACCGAACCAACUCAUCCACCAAGUUUUGGCCUAAUCCGUCCAUAACUUUUUGAGAUAUCAUGCUAUAUAUUGUUUUAGCCCAAUCACUCAAUGGUGAAAAAACAUCAAAAAAAAUUCGGAUCUGGAUCUUCAAAACCUAAUAAUUUCGUCUGUGUUACAUACCCAAGCUCUCCACCAAAUUACUUCCAAAUCUGUCCACAACUUUUUUAGAUAUCCUGUUCCUCGACAAACAGACAGACAGACAGGGGUGAAAACAUCACCUCCAUCUACCUUCAAUGGCAGAGAUAAUCAUAAUAAUUAAUGACAAUAAUAAUGUGCAACCAGACUGGAAAGGGGAAAAACAAGUACUGCAGGUACAUUCAAAGUACACCGCCCCCAUGCAAAAUAAGUAAAUAACAAAUCCUCUAGCGCACGAUAUUGCCGAGGCACCUUUGGUGCCCGGCAAUGCCGCCAUGCAGCACAUGGAGACAGAAUUUGGAGGGAGCAGUGCACUUCUGAGGUGAAUGUGUACAAAUGAUACUUACUCACUGUCAAUUAUAAGCCAGAUGUGGUAUUUGUAAGCAUUUGUAAAAGAAGGAUUAAAAUUGACGGCUUCAUGUUAUAAGUUUCGUUUUGCACGGAUCAGGAAAUUGUAAUAUAAACUGCUUGAUGUAAUGAGCUAAUUUUGACUGUAGAUGGAAGAAUUGUACUGUAAACUGCUUGGUGAGAUUUGUGAAGGUGCUGGAACGUUCUCAGAUGAAAUUUCCAGUAUACUCUAGAAUUGCAUUUGCUAGAAGGCACGAGAUUGUUCUGUGAUGCUAUAUAAACCCGCGAGAGGGAGGUGUAGAGAGAGAGGUGACAUGUGAGGAGCCGUGUGUAUCCAUCGUCCCCGUGCUCGAUUUAACUCUGAGUGAACGAGGUGUGAAUGUUCAGAGCAGUUUUUAACACGUGGAGCCAAUUAUAAUCAGGUUGCUUGAAACUCAUGAAGAUUGUGUGUCGGGAAAGAAUUUAUUUGACCUCUUUAAUCAUCUGGAACGGUCCAGCAUACAAGAGAGAACAAUGUGGUGGGAAUUGAUCGUACAACAGCCACAAAGGACGAGGUGAGCAUGCAUGAGUUGUGCCAGCAGGACUGGGACACUGCGCAGUGGAAAUAACUCAACGUGGAAAUCGGAGUUGGACAUUGUAUGUAAUGAUGAACCUCCUCAUUUGACUUUAUAUCUGAUUAUUUGAAAUACAAGUUUCAAAAACGUUACGCUGUUCAUGUGGUCACUGCAAUGUCACUCAGAAGUCACAGACACCAACUGACAAAGAUCCAUUCGAGUGGUUGCUGACCUGUACGUUCGUUCAUAACCUUGGAUUGCAGUCGUUAGAGAACGCGCUGGGUUUGGCACCACGAACAACAUACAUACACCAAAGGAAAGGAAACCCCAAUGGCGCGUGUACCACCAACACUCACCGUGCAGCACAUGGAAAUGGAAUUGGGAGGAAG